UACGUAGGGUGCGAGCGUUAAUCGGAAUUACUGGGCGUAAAGCGUGCGCAGGCGGUUCGGGAUGUCUGAUGUGAAAGCCCCGGGCUCAACCUGGGAAUUGCAUUGGAAACUAGCGGGCUGGAGUGUGGCAGAGGGGGGUGGAAUUCCACGUGUAGCGGUGAAAUGCGUAGAUAUCAGGAGGAACACCGGCGGCGAAGGCGGCCCUCUGGAUCGUUGCUGACGCUGAGACGCGAAAGCGUGGGGAGCAAACAGG
This 253-nucleotide ribosomal RNA is filed under the name uncultured bacterium. Its description in RNAcentral is "partial 16S ribosomal RNA". It matches the Rfam family "Bacterial small subunit ribosomal RNA", at positions 524 to 776 of the family's 1533-position model. The record is from RNAcentral.